UACUCCUACGGGAGGCAGCAGUAGGGAAUCUUCGGCAAUGGACGGAAGUCUGACCGAGCAACGCCGCGUGAGUGAAGAAGGUUUUCGGAUCGUAAAGCUCUGUUGUAAGAGAAGAACGAGCGUGAGAGUGGAAAGUUCACACUGUGACGGUAUCUUACCAGAAAGGGACGGCUAACUACGUGCCAGCAGCCGCGGUAAUACGUAGGUCCCGAGCGUUGUCCGGAUUUAUUGGGCGUAAAGCGAGCGCAGGCGGUUAGAUAAGUCUGAAGUUAAAGGCUGUGGCUUAACCAUAGUACGCUUUGGAAACUGUUUAACUUGAGUGCAAGAGGGGAGAGUGGAAUUCCAUGUGUAGCGGUGAAAUGCGUAGAUAUAUGGAGGGACACCGGUGGCGAAAGCGGCUCUCUGGCUUGUAACUGACGCUGAGGCUCGAAAGCGUGGGGAGCAAACAGGAUUAGAUACCCUGGUAGUCCACGCCGUAAACGAUGAGUGCUAGGUGUUAGACCCUUUCCGGGGUUUAGUGCCGUAGCUAACGCAUUAAGCACUCCGCCUGGGGAGUACGACCGCAAGGUUGAAACUCAAAGGAAUUGACGGA
RNAcentral lists this ribosomal RNA (592 nucleotides) under uncultured bacterium. RNAcentral describes it as "bacterial SSU rRNA". It matches the Rfam family "Bacterial small subunit ribosomal RNA", at positions 334 to 917 of the family's 1533-position model. The record is from RNAcentral.